GUUAAAAUAUCCAAUAAACCAUAUUCAUGGCCGCCAUGAAUUAUUCUUAAUAAAAAAAUUGUUCUUUAAAAAAUCCGAUUUUGGAGCCUUCAUGGGGGAAAUCUCCUGCAAAUAGUGACACUUGGCAGGUAUGACUUUUCACUGUUAUUUUUAUAGCGUAUUUUCUGAGAACAGGCCGUUUGUUGUUAAUCUUGAAUUGUUUCACAUUUUAUUGUUUAGGGGCCUUUUACAGCUUACUUUACGGUGUUGAUACUUGUCCAUUGUUGAAGGCAGGGUUGGGG
Molecule: long non-coding RNA, 281 nt
Filed under: Mytilus galloprovincialis (Mediterranean mussel)
Lineage: Eukaryota; Metazoa; Mollusca; Bivalvia; Mytilida; Mytilidae
Source: RNAcentral